CCUACGGGAGGCAGCAGUGGGGAAUCUUGCGCAAUGGGCGAAAGCCUGACGCAGCCAUGCCGCGUGAAUGAUGAAGGUCUUAGGAUUGUAAAAUUCUUUCAGUAGGGACGAUAAUGACGGUACCUACAGAAGAAGCCCCGGCUAACUUCGUGCCAGCAGCCGCGGUAAUACGAAGGGGGCUAGCGUUGCUCGGAAUUACUGGGCGUAAAGGGAGCGUAGGCGGGUUAUCAAGUUGGAGGUGAAAGCCCAGGGCUCAACCUUGGAAUAGCCUUCAAAACUGAUAACCUAGAGGAUGGAAGAGGUAAGUGGAACUCCGAGUGUAGAGGUGAAAUUCGUAGAUAUUCGGAAGAACACCAGUGGCGAAGGCGACUUACUGGUCCAUUACUGACGCUGAGGCUCGAAAGCGUGGGGAGCAAACAGGAUUAGAUACCCUGGUAGUCCACGCUGUAAACGAUGAUUGCUAGUUGUCGGCAGNAUGCUCGUCGGUGACGCAGCUACGACAUAAGUACACUACCGCCGUCGGGAGGUACGGUCGCGAGAGUAAACGUAACGAAAGGUAAAGUUAGUACGGUUCGUUGUAGAGUUAGCGACGGACGACGACGAGGGAGGAGG
This 612-nucleotide ribosomal RNA is filed under the name uncultured bacterium. RNAcentral's name for it is "bacterial SSU rRNA". The stretch from base 1 to 515 matches the Rfam family "Bacterial small subunit ribosomal RNA", at positions 338 to 873 of the family's 1533-position model. The record is from RNAcentral.